AAUACUUUGGUGGCGACCGGCGCACGGGUGCGUAACGCGUAUGCAACCUACCUUUAACAGGGGCAUAACACUGAGAAAUUGGUACUAAUUCCCCAUAACGUUCGAGAAGGCAUCUUCUUGGGUUAAAAACUCCGGUGGUUAAAGAUGGGCAUGCGUUGUAUUAGCUAGUUGGUGAGGUAACGGCUCACCAAGGCAACGAUACAUAGGGGGACUGAGAGGUUAACCCCCCACAUUGGUACUGAGACACGGACCAA
RNAcentral lists this ribosomal RNA (254 nucleotides) under uncultured bacterium. RNAcentral describes it as "partial 16S ribosomal RNA". It matches the Rfam family "Bacterial small subunit ribosomal RNA", at positions 79 to 334 of the family's 1533-position model. The record is from RNAcentral.